AACAGAUACAGCCCAGAUAUGUUCCACUCCUACCCAAUGAAUAUGGUUUCAUGGUAGAUGCACAUUAGGAUGUUUAACAUAUACAGCCUAAAUAUGUUACACUCCUAGACAAUGAAGAUGGUUUCAUGGUAGAUUGAUCACACAUCUGGAUACGUAGCAUAUACAGACUAGAUAUGUUACCCUCCUAGACAAUGAAGAUGCUUUCAUGGUAUACAGCACACGAAGAUUUGUAUCAUAUAACGCCUAAAUAUGUUACACUCUUCGACAAUGAAAAUGGUUUCAUUGUAGAUAGCACAUUAGGAUUAGUCACAUAUACAGCCUAAAUAUGUAAGACUCCUAUACCAUGAAAGAUGCUUCCAUUGCAGAUGCACAUUAGGAUAAGUCACAUAUUAUACAGCCUUAAUAUGUAACACUCCUAUACCAUGAAAGAUGCUUUCACACAUUAGGAUGUUGCACAUAUACAUCUAAAUAUGUUGCACUCCUAGACAGAGAAGAUGGAUUCAUGGCAGAUAGGAAGACUCAACAUAUACAGCCCAGAUAUGUUCCACUCCUACCCAAUGAAUAUGGUUUCAUGGUAGAUGCACAUUAGGAUGUUUAACAUAUACAGCCUAAAUAUGUUACACUCCUAGACAAUGAAGAUGGUUUCAUGGUAGAUUGAUCACACAUCUGGAUACGUAGCAUAUACAGACUAGAUAUGUUACCCUCCUAGACAAUGAAGAUGCUUUCAUGGUAUACAGCACACGAAGAUUUGUAUCAUAUAACGCCUAAAUAUGUUACACUCUUCGACAAUGAAAAUGGUUUCAUUGUAGAUAGCACAUUAGGAUUAGUCACAUAUACAGCCUAAAUAUGUAAGACUCCUAUACCAUGAAAGAUGCUUCCAUUGCAGAUGCACAUUAGGAUAAGUCACAUAUUAUACAGCCUUAAUAUGUAACACUCCUAUACCAUGAAUGAUGCUUUCACACAUUAGGAUGUUGCACAUAUACAUCAAAAUAUGUUGCACUCCUAGACAGAGAAGAUGGAUUCAUGGCAGAUAGGAAGAGUCAACAUAUACAGCCCAGAUAUGUUCCACUCCUACCCAAUGAAUAUGGUUUCAUGGUAGAUGCACAUUAGGAUGUUUAACAUAUACAGCCUAAAUAUGUUACACUCCUAGACAAUGAAGAUGGUUUCAUGGUAGAUUGAUCACACAUCUGGAUACGUAGCAUAUACAGACUAGAUAUGUUACCCUCCUAGACAAUGAUGAUGCUUUCAUGGUAUACAGCACACGAAGAUUUGUAUCAUAUAACGCCUAAAUAUGUUACACUCUUCGACAAUGAAAAUGGUUUCAUUGUAGAUAGCACAUUAGGAUUAGUCACAUAUUCUGUCUGAAUAUGUAAGACUCCUAUACCAUGAAAGAUGCUUCCAUUGCAGAUAGCACAUUAGGAUUAGUCACAUAUACAGCCUAAAUAUGUAAGACUCCUAUACCAUGAAAGAUGCUUCCAUUGCAGAUGCACAUUAGGAUAAGUCACAUAUGCAACUUAUAUGAUGUUUCAGUAGUAGAAGGUGCAGCAUGGCAGCAGAAGAUGUUAAAUUGAGAAUGGUGAAGAGACAGUUUAAUUCAGAGAAUUUGCCAAGUGCCCUCAAUAUGUCUACAAUGAUAUAACAAUCAUAAUUAAGCCAAAAGAUCAAUUGUUGGUUGUAAUUAAUGCCAGCUCUAAAUAAGAUCUUAAAAUAGAAACUAUCUUCAAAUUUGACAAGUUACCAUAUCUACAUAUGAAUAAAUUAGAAUAGUCUGUAAAUAUUCUGUAUUUUCCUUUUUGCAUCAUCUUUUGAGUAACCAAAUCAGAACACCCAAUUUGGUGAAAUACUUUUUCCUGUUAUAUCUGUCAUUGCUUUUGUAAGAUAAAAACAAAAAUGUAUAUGCAGUUUUGUUAAAUAUAUUUAAAUUCAAAAUUAAAAAAAAAAAUCAAUUUCAAAUUAACACAAACAAAAUUGACUUUAACUUUAGUUCAUGCACCCUUUAAUGUAUAUCUUAAAAGAUUUGUUGUGGACUAAGCAAAUAUCAAAUUAUCAUUUCAGAAGUACAUUUUGCUUGCAUGGUAUCAUCUUCACUAACAUUUAACAUAGUGGGUUUCGGAGUUACUGAGGUAGUUCUUAUUGAGAUGUUUCUUGUUUUUUCUAUGGAGGAAUCAGUGGUUUCUAUGUCUUCAGGAUAUGGUUUUGUCAUUCAAAGGGAACUGUCAAUGUAAUUCUGAAAUGAUAUACAUUUGGUAUUUUUAUUGUCAUUGAAAAAGAAACAAUAUUAGUGCAUGAACAUUUGAACUGUGAAUAUAUAAUAUUUAAACUUUAUAAUUUAUAAUUUUUAAAUCGAUUUUGGAAAGUUAUUGUAUCAAAAUUAAAUUGUAUUUGACACAGUUUGAUGGAUGAAAAUUAGAAAAACUUAAUUUAUGUUCUAAAUUUAAGCACAAGUGAAACAAAAUUCCAAAUAUAAAUUUCUGCUUCAUUAAAACAUUUGGUUAAAUGGAUCUGCAAAAUCACUGAUAGCUAACACGGUUAAUCCAUUUAAUUAGGUAGUGUCGUUAAGUAUAGUCUAAUGGAUCCUGUUGAUAUCCUAUUAUAAGUAUUGAUGUAUUAUAAAUCAUAUUCCUAAAUCUAACAAGUCAGAUGGGACUGCCCUUGCAUCAGUGUCUUACAAAUUGUACUGUAAUAUACUGAACUAUAGAUUAGCUCAGUGGGUAGAUGAUAACAAUGUACUGGUUGAGGAACAGAUUGGUUUACCGCAACUUUGUAGUACAAUAGACCAAUUAUCUACUCUUACUAAUUUGAUAGAUGUGAGAAAAACACUUCCUAAAUCAAUCUUUUGUGCCUUUAUUGAUUUUAAAAAGGCUUACGACACUACAAAGAGUUAUUUUAUGGUAUAAACUAAAUAAAAUUGGUGUUGCACAGACUUUUGUUCUGCUAUUAAGUCAAUUUAUACAAAUGUUCUGUAAGAAUAAACAGUCAUUUCACAGACUGGUUUGAUGUAAACACUGGCUUGAAACAAGGAUGUCCCUUGUCGCUCAUUUUGUUCAUCUUGUAUAUUAAUGAUUACCAUUUCUUAAGUCCUUUGACUGCGGAAUAGAAAUUGGUGAUGAAAAACUGUAUUUUAUUAUAUGCUGAUGAUGAUGUUAUUAUAGCAAACGAUGAAAAAGAGCUACAACUUUUGGUAAAUGCUUUUUCUACAUGAUUUGAAGACAAUUGUAUGACAAUUGAUACAAACAAGAGUAACAUUGUACAAUUUAGACCACCAUCUAUACCUAGAUAUGAUGUAAUUUUUAAUUGUAAUGGUCAUACUAUAAAGUCUUCUUGUAAUGAUACUUGGUCUCGUUUUAAACAAGCAUUUAGACUAAUAUCACUGCAAAAGCCGUUGCAUCUUCAGCGAAUAGAGCUUUAGGGAUGGUAAUAGCCAAGUGUAAACUUUUAGGGGGUGUUUGUUUCGAUGUAUUUGUAAAAUUAUAUGAAAGUUUGGUUUGUCCUAUAAUAGAAUAUAAAAAGGUAUAUGGGGUGUAAAAAGAUAUUCUUGUAUAAAUUCCAUACAUAAUGGGGCCUAUAGAUUUUCUAGAAGUAGAAAAAUAUGCACCAAAUGCUGCAGUUACCGGAGACUUGGGUAUUAUUGUAUUAUACGUUGAUAAUUUUAUUUUAUAUUGCAUUUUGAUUUGUCAAUACACACAUGUUUUAUGGUGUAGGUCAGAGCACCUGACCCUGGAGACGGGAUUGCGCACUUGGCAUCCACUGACACAGGUUUCUAGAGCUUUUUGAUCGAUUAUAUCGUUUUUUAUCUCUAGUUGUUCCUGGCCGGCCUUGACUGUCUAUGAAGGGGUGCAUUUAGUCAAAAGUUGGUUUUGGUGUAUUUAGGAAAAUCAUGGAAGUAUUAUAUUUUACUUCCAUGGGAUAAUAUAUACAUAGGAAUUCUAUGAUUUUGAAUUAUAUAUGCAUUGCAAUAAUGAUUUAUUGAAUUUGUGAAUAUUUAUAAUACAAUCUGGCGUCCAUCGAGCAUGACGGGCUGUCCGCAAACUAAGAUUAUGUUUGCAUUGUUUAUAUUUGGCACAAGUAUGUAGUUAAUACCACCUAUUUUUGAUAAGCAGUGGAAAAGUAUUAUUCGUUUGUGGUGUAGAUUAAAUCAUAUGAGCUAAGGUCGGAUAAAUUCAAAAGUUCAUUAGUGGGCUGAUAGAAUGAGUAUUAAGCAUAAGUUUGCUGAAAACUGGAACUUUUUAGUAAGGAAAACCUUCUCUGAACUGAAUUCAAGUCAUUUAUCGUGUCCUGAAAAUAUGGACACUAAUUAUGUUGUUAAACUUUUAAUGUCAAAAUGAAUUUCAGUCACAGAAGUGCUUUUCUCAAAUUUAGAUGUGGUGUUGCUCCACUAAGGAUUUAAACUGGGAAAUAUGAAAAUAUUGUUUUAGCUUGUGCCAUAUAUGUUAUAGUUUUAUUGAAGACGAAGCACAUGUUUUAUUAAGAUGUACUCUUUAUGGAGAUUUUAGAAACCAUUUAUAUUAUGUUGCUGAAAAUUUUAAUACUUUUGGUUAUCAUCUUAAGUUUGUGUUUUUAUUCUCAGAUGUGUUAUUCUCAGAUGUAAAUAUGAUACAUGUGUUCCAAAACCUGUUAUUUGAUUUUAAAAAGGCGUUGAAAUUUUAUAUAUGGAAAAUACAUGUAGUACUUUAUUUCAUAUUGUUUAAUGUAUUAUAUCUAUGCAUUUUAAUAGUCUUUAUAAUUCUGUAUAGAAUGGCUCAUUUUAUUUAGUGUUGUUUUACAAUGUAUAAAUAUCGAUUGUAAUUGUUGAGAGAUGACACAUGCAUAAAACAUUGAAUUAAUUGAACUGAGUUUGUUAGUAUUACAAUCAAUAUUUGUGUAUGCCUCGCACAAAAAGGUGCAAGCAGGGCCGUACUGGACAUCUUCAGUUAUCAAGUUUGUUUUUUUAUAACAAACACACUGAGAUCUGGUAUCCAGGAAAUUAAAAUGAAUCAACAAUACUUUCAUGUAUUUUGUACAAUAAUAUUUUUUCUAAUUACACCUUACUCAUGAUGCAGAUAUGUCUUCAUCUAAUACUAUGAUGAUGUACUACAGUGGCAUAAAAGUAGUUACGAUAGGUUUAGGAAGUGUCAUUUUGGUAUUUAUCAUGAUGCAUUAGAAUUAAAUUUCCCCAUGUUUCAAGGAAUAACAUUGAAAAAUAAUUUAUAAGCCAACACUUCUGGCCAGCAGUCUGUUUUUGAAUAAUAAGGAUUUCUUUAAAACUGUUCAAGUAUACCUCCUUUGACAAUCUUCCUAGCAUUGGGUUAUGGAAUUUUUCAAUUUUUUACCCACUACAUUUUCAGUUUUUAGUUGGUUGUUCCAUGUCGGCGGGGUCGUCGAUGAUAGAAUUUUUGCCAUUAUUUGAUAUUUCACAUAAAAUACAAUGUAAGAGCAUUUCAUCAAUUAUAAUUGCUACGAUUUUCUUUAUGUAUUUAUGCUUAUCCUUGUAUGCAUGUUUAUUGUUUUAAUGAAGAUAAAAUCCGAUGUCCAAGUUAUCGGCAAUAUGAA
Mytilus californianus (California mussel) is the source of this 5529-nucleotide long non-coding RNA. RefSeq lists it as uncharacterized. The record is from RefSeq and is a predicted model, not a curated record. Lineage: Eukaryota; Metazoa; Mollusca; Bivalvia; Mytilida; Mytilidae. The transcript has 21 exons.